Non-coding RNA from Cinara cedri, 2068 nucleotides. The record is from the annotation of a GenBank genome assembly. Lineage: Eukaryota; Metazoa; Arthropoda; Insecta; Hemiptera; Aphididae.
UUUUGGUGUUGAAAAUUUUAAUUUCCAUAAACCCGUUGAAUGUGCUCCUUUUAAGUCUGUUGUUUUGUUUAUAGGGUGUAAGUAGUGAAGCACCCGUAUGUGCUGGACUACUUUCUGUUAUCCACAAAUUAAAAAUCGAAAUAUCUCGUCAACAUCUUCUUAUUCUUCUUCAGUAGCUUAAUAGGCCACGAACGACUUUUAUUAUCACUAGCAAUUUAGUUCUCCGUCUCUAUCUGUCCUACGCGCAGUCAAUAACUGCAUUCCCUUCUACCAUUUUCAUGUUGUAUUCCACAGUGUCGUUCCGUGACAUAUUUCGUCUACCGAGCGGUCGUUUUUUGUUUACUCGUUCCGUCAAAACAUUCUUCAAUACAUCCCUAUCCGAUCUCUAUACACGUCCCGAGCAAUCUCAUCGUUUAUCCCUUACUUCAGUGAGUAUAUCGACAUUUCCAUAAUAUAAGUAAUUCAACUCCACAAUCAGCGGCCGUGGGACUAAAUUUUAAUGCUAUAGAAGUAACAGUUAUAUUUUUUUGCGAAACGUGUCGCGUUCGCGUUGGUUUGACGACAACCGAGUAAUCGGAAACCGCCCGACUAUUAUGUAUACAAACGCUCUUUGGAUUAAUUCGGUUUUUUUUUUUUUUUUUUUUUUGUAAUCUCGUCAGACGUAUAAAAUCAUGCCCGGAAAUUGUUCUGUUAAUAAUUCGCAGUAGCGUCUGACGAGAAAAAGAGGCUCGUAUUUUUUCCCCGUCACUCGACAUCACUUAAAUUACCAAUUCAUUCCGAUCCGCGCGCGAAUUAUUCGGAGCACUCCGCGGUUUUGCCGGGCCCGUCCUAUUUCUUCAGGGACGACGUAGAAUAUUAAUCGUCGGCCAUAUUGUACAUUGUUUUUACGGGAACCGCACUGUAUAUAAUUUACAAAACAUAUAUUAGUCAGUACGCGCUUUGAUUAUUCGCGUCUCCUCGUAAGACAAUAUGCCCCCAUCCCCCAAACUGCCGUUAAUUCGUUUUGAACUGCGACCGUGAUACCUGCGCGUAUCGAUAAUUUACACUUUCGCGGAGUUAUUCCGUCAGAACCCGGCGAUAAAGAAACGCGUAAUGUAAUAACGGCUAUAAUUAAUAUCACUGUUAUCGCUGUUAUAAUAUUAUAGACACUUAAUGACAAUCACGAUACGCGGCUGAUUAAUGAUAAAAUUUGAUGAACGCAGUUUUUGCCAAGUCUACGGAGUUUUAUACCGUUUUAAAAUAUUUGGCGAAAACGUGGUAGAACGUACGGUUGAAAUAGAGAUAGUCACAAAUAACGUUUGGAGAAGAGAAUAUGUUAAAGGCCGAAAAAAUUAUUGACUGGACAUGCGUGAAAAAGCCAAAACUCAUAUCUACUACGAGCAGUGUAAAGACCUUUGGAAAGGUCGAGGAUGCGAUGAGAAAACGUAGUAACAAAAUACGUCGAAGGUUUAGUAAGCGGACCUAAUUGGAAGAUUUUAGCGAUUAAUAGAAAUGGAUCCGGGGAAUUGACCGUGACAAAAACGACCUUGGAAACCGAAUAAACCCAAAUAAUAACGGGUUAGAGUUUAUAAAUCGAUCGUACUUAAAAACGACUACCAAAAUACGGUAAAUAAUCGACUUGUACGCACUGUUUUCAUAUUGUAAUAUUGUGCAAUAGGUAUAGCUAUAUCGCAGUGAUACUGUAUAAGUGUGAGGAGGUUUUAUAAUUUUAAGUUUUGACGAGGCUAAUCGGGUAAAAAUAUGUAAACAAACCGAAAAACGUUAUUAAUAUUAUACGCCGUCGUAAUGUUCGUCGGAGCAGGAAGUUUUCAGGAAACGCGCUCGUUAGUCACAUACGUCUUUUAAAAGCUAACCGUGCACAACCUCCACGCACACUCUUCCACGGUGGGUACAUACCGGCUGGAAAGGGUCUCUAGUGCCGGAAACGGUCUCUUAAAAACGUCCGUCUAAUAGAGAAGUGCGCUGCACCGAGAGAAUAAUUAAUGUGUAUCGCAAAAACUUCGGGAUUAAAAUUGUACGGGGGCACGCGCCCGGGUUUUGAUCAAGUUUGUAAAACGAAGACGUAUUA